CGUAGUUUAGUGGUAGAACUCUAGCUUCCCAAGCUAGCUGUACGGGUUCGAUUCCCGCCGG
Molecule: transfer RNA, 61 nt
Filed under: human gut metagenome
Rfam family: tRNA
About the family: Transfer RNA (tRNA) molecules are approximately 80 nucleotides in length. Their secondary structure includes four short double-helical elements and three loops (D, anti-codon, and T loops). Further hydrogen bonds mediate the characteristic L-shaped molecular structure. tRNAs have two regions of fundamental functional importance: the anti-codon, which is responsible for specific mRNA codon recognition, and the 3' end, to which the tRNAs corresponding amino acid is attached (by aminoacyl-tRNA synthetases). tRNAs cope with the degeneracy of the genetic code in two manners: having more than one tRNA (with a specific anti-codon) for a particular amino acid; and 'wobble' base-pairing, i.e. permitting non-standard base-pairing at the 3rd anti-codon position.
Source: RNAcentral